RNAcentral lists this ribosomal RNA (492 nucleotides) under uncultured bacterium. RNAcentral's name for it is "partial 16S ribosomal RNA". It matches the Rfam family "Bacterial small subunit ribosomal RNA", at positions 29 to 507 of the family's 1533-position model. The record is from RNAcentral.
AGUGAACGCUGGCGGUAGGCCUAACACAUGCAAGUCGAACGGCAGCACAGUAAGAGCUUGCUCUUACGGGUGGCGAGUGGCGGACGGGUGAGGAAUACAUCGGAAUCUACUUUUUCGUGGGGGAUAACGUAGGGAAACUUACUCUAAUACCGCAUACGACCUACGGGUGAAAGCAGGGGAUCUUCGGACCUUGCGCGAUUGAAUGAGCCGAUGUCGGAUUAGCUAGUUGGCGGGGUAAAGGCCCACCAAGGCGACGAUCCGUAGCUGGUCUGAGAGGACGAUCGGCCACACUGGAACUGAGACACGGUCCAGACGACUGCGAGAGGCAGCAGUGGGGAAUGUUAGGCAAUGGGCGGAAGCAUGAUACAGCCAUACCGAGUGGGUGAAGAAGGCCUUCGGGUUGUAAAGCCCUUUUGUUGGGAAAGAAAAGCAGCAGGUUAAUACCCAGCUGUUCUGACGGUACCCAAAGAAUAAGCACCGGCUAACUUCGUG